GGGCCGCUGGUCUAGUGGUAUGAUUCUCGUAAGUCAUUGCAUCUCCUCCACAUAUGCGGGUUGGUCGUCCUAACAAAAUCAGGCUUAGGGUUCACCCUGAAGUACACAUUGCGAGAGGUCCCGGGUUCAAUCCCCGGGUGGCCCC
This is a non-coding RNA of Podospora conica, 145 nucleotides long. The record is from the annotation of a GenBank genome assembly. Lineage: Eukaryota; Fungi; Ascomycota; Sordariomycetes; Sordariales; Podosporaceae.